Long non-coding RNA from Etheostoma cragini (Arkansas darter), 99 nucleotides. RefSeq lists it as uncharacterized. The record is from RefSeq and is a predicted model, not a curated record. Lineage: Eukaryota; Metazoa; Chordata; Actinopteri; Perciformes; Percidae. The transcript is spliced from 3 exons.
UUAUUCUAAUUCUUAUAAGAGUUAUUUCAUUAAAUAGUAUAUAUUAAAAUCUAAAGUCUUCCAACCCCUGGCCAGGAUACUGCGAGUGGCUGAUAUGGA